Octopus sinensis (East Asian common octopus) is the source of this 106-nucleotide small nuclear RNA. NCBI's taxonomy places the organism in Eukaryota, Metazoa, Mollusca, Cephalopoda, Octopoda, Octopodidae. The record is from RefSeq and is a predicted model, not a curated record.
CUUGCCUUUCGGCAAUCCAUGUUCUGGUAUUGGAACUAUCCAGAAAAGAUGAGUAUGGCCCCUGUGCAAGGAUGACAAACAAAGUCAUGAAGCGUUUCAUAUUUUU